ACCCUAGCAAGGCAAGCUUCAUUCAAUUGCUUCAUUCAAAGAGCCAAAAGAAAGUGGUUGAGCAGAUUUCAAGAGACAUUAAGAGCUCCACCAACCCUUGAAGAGUGAAGCAAUCUUGACAAAGAAGAGAAGAGCCUUAUUAAAGCGAUAACUAUAUUCUAAACUCUUCUUUGUAGCUUAUAAUUGUUAUAUUUACUCAUCUAGGAGUUUCAACUUUCUUCUUCUUUUUAAUCACCUUGUAAAGGUUUGUUGGUGAGCCCGUAAAACCAACGGUAAAGGUUUGUUGGUGAGCCCAUAAAACCAACGGUGUAGGUUGUUGGUAAGCCCGAAAAACCAACGUAGGUUGUUGGUGAACCCGUAAAACCAA
This 367-nucleotide long non-coding RNA is filed under the name Phoenix dactylifera (date palm). Its description in RNAcentral is "long non-coding RNA (PDAC_LNC016675)". Lineage: Eukaryota; Viridiplantae; Streptophyta; Magnoliopsida; Arecales; Arecaceae. The record is from RNAcentral.